AUUGAACGCUAGCGGGAUGCCUUACACAUGCAAGUCGAACGGCAGCACGGACUUCGGUCUGGUGGCGAGUGGCGAACGGGUGAGUAAUGUAUCGGAACGUGCCCAGUAGCGGGGGAUAACUACUCGAAAGAGUAGCUAAUACCGCAUACGCCCUACGGGGGAAAGGGGGGGAUGGCAAGACCUCUCACUAUUGGAGCGGCCGAAACGGGAUUAGCUAGUUGGUGGGGUAAAGGCCCACCAAGGCGACGAUCCGUAGCUGGUUUGAGCUGAAGACAGGCCACACUGGGACUGAGACACGGUCCAGAUUCCUACUGUAGGCAGCAUUGGGGAAUUUUGGACAAUGGGGCAACCCUGAUCCAGCCAUCCCGCGUGUGCGAUGAAGGCCUUCGGGUUGUAAAGCACUUUUGGCAGGAAAGAAAUCGCAUGGGUUAAUACCCUGUGUGGAUGACGGUACCUGCAGAAUAAGCACCGGCUAACUACGUGCCAGCCGCCGCCGUAA
Molecule: ribosomal RNA, 499 nt
Filed under: uncultured bacterium
Lineage: Bacteria
Description: partial 16S ribosomal RNA
Rfam family: Bacterial small subunit ribosomal RNA
Source: RNAcentral